CCGAUCUCGGCUAAUGGCCCUACCUACGGCCGGAUUAGUUUCGUGGAAACACUUUGGUCUUCGACUGAGGAUGACCCGGCUCGAAUCUCAGGUACCACUCCUUGAAAAUAUUUAUUAUGGGGUCUGGCCCGACCCGUCAAUUCCUGUCUUCCACAGUUCGGUUGACGGUACGGGUUUCUAUGUCUGCUCUGAAAGUUCGACUCCCCUUAUCGUUCAUCCCCCUAAUUUGGAAAUGCUGAGUCCGGAAGUGUAAUUAUUUUUCGGCGCUGAGGCCCCGUUGUCGAGGUGCAGGGCCCCAGGGUUGGGGCCUGUCGGUCGAAUU
Molecule: long non-coding RNA, 322 nt
Filed under: Androctonus crassicauda
Lineage: Eukaryota; Metazoa; Arthropoda; Arachnida; Scorpiones; Buthidae
Source: RNAcentral